ACUCCUUCUUCAAGAUUGUCAGUUAGCUCACUGAUAGAUAGUAGAUUUAUUAGAAUUUUUAACCCCUGAUGCUAGUGGAAUGUCUGGCAUUCCUGAAGGAUGUGCUAUUGAUCAUUCGCAAAUCAGUUCACCGAGAGUGCAAGAUUUCUCAAGAGGGAUUAAUUUUGAGAAACAUUCCCUUGACAGCGACAUAAUAAUUACUCCUUCUUCAAGAUUGUCAGUUAGCUCACUGAUAGAUAGUAGAUUUAUUAGAAUUUUUAACCCCUGAUGCUAGUGGAAUGUCUGGCAUUCCUGAAGGAUGUGCUAUUGAUCAUUCGCAAAUCAGUUCACCGAGAGUGCAAGAUUUCUCAAGAGGGAUUAAUUUUGAGAAACAUUCCCUUGACAGCGACAUAAUAAUUACUCCUUCUUCAAGAUUGUCAGUUAGCUCACUGAUAGAUAGUAGAUUUAUUAG
Non-coding RNA from Nylanderia fulva, 451 nucleotides. The record is from RefSeq and is a predicted model, not a curated record. NCBI's taxonomy places the organism in Eukaryota, Metazoa, Arthropoda, Insecta, Hymenoptera, Formicidae.